Molecule: ribosomal RNA, 1732 nt
Filed under: Hyphomonas sp.
Lineage: Bacteria; Pseudomonadati; Pseudomonadota; Alphaproteobacteria; Hyphomonadales; Hyphomonadaceae
Description: bacterial LSU rRNA
Rfam family: Bacterial large subunit ribosomal RNA
Source: RNAcentral
GAUCAAGCGUCAAAAGGGCAUCCGGGGGAUGUCUUGGCGGUAAGAGGCGAUGAAAGACGUGGCACUCUGCGAUAAGCACCGGGGAGGCGAGAGCACCCUUUGAUCCGGUGAUUUCUGAAUGGGGAAACCCAUCUCCGAGAUGUUGGAUAAUUCGAGCGCUUCGGCGCUCGACCUGUCUAACAUUUCAAUAGUGAGAUAUUUUAAUCUGAAUACAUAGGGUUAAAAAGCGAACCCGGGGAAUUGAAACAUCUAAGUACCCGGAGGAAAGGACAUCAAUUGAGACUCCGUUAGUAGUGGCGAGCGAACGCGGACCAGGCCUGGUCUGAAAUAAGGAGAAGUAUCUGGGAAGGUACGCCGUAGUGGGUGAUAGCCCCGUAUCCGUAAAAUGAAGACCUUUUAGAGUAGGGCGGGACACGUGAAAUCCUGUCUGAACAUGGGGGGACCACCCUCCAAGCCUAAGUACUCCUUACCGACCGAUAGUGAACAAGUACCGUGAGGGAAUGAUGAAAAGAACCCCGAUGAGGGGAGUGAAACAGAUCCUGAAACCGGAUGCCUACAAGCUGAUGGAGCUCUUCGGAGUGACAUCGUACCUUUUGUAUAAUGGGUCAGCGACUUAGUGUUGCGUGCAAGCUUAAGCCGAUAGGUGUAGGCACAGCGAAAGCGAGUCUUAAUAGGGCGAAUGAGUACGUAGCAUUAGACCCGAAGGCAAGUGAUCUAGAUAUGGGCAGGCUGAAGGUGCAGUAACAUGCACUGGAGGGCCGAACCGUUGAGCGUUGAAAAGCUCUCGGAUGACCUGUGUCUAGGGGUGAAAGGCCAAUCAAACUUGCUGAUAGCUGGUUCUCCGCGAAAUCUAUUUAGGUAGAGCGUCACGAUUAGACUCUGGGGGGUAGAGCACUGAAUGGGCUAGGGGUCCUCACCGGAUUACCAAACCUUCUCAAACUCCGAAUACCCAGAAGUUAUGCGUGGCAGACACACGGCGGGUGCUAACGUCCGUCGUGAAAAGGGAAACAACCCAGACCGCCAAUUAAGGCCCCUAAGUAAUAGCUAAGUGCGAAACGAUGUGGAGGUGCUGAGACAAUCAGGAGGUUGGCUUAGAAGCAGCCAUCCUUUAAAGAAAGCGUAACAGCUCACUGAUCAAGCGCCUCUGCGCGGAAAAUGUAUCGGGACUAAAGUUAUUCGCCGAAAUUGCGGACUCGAAAGAGUGGUAGCGGAGCGUUCCGUAAGCCUGUGAAGGUGAACCGUGAGGUUUGCUGGAGGUAUCGGAAGUGAGAAUGCUGACAUGAGUAGCGACAAACAGGGUGAGAGACCCUGUCGCCGAAAGACCAAGGGUUCCUGCGUAAAGCUAAUCUGCGCAGGGUUAGCCGGCCCCUAAGGCAAGGCCGAAAGGCGUAGUCGAUGGGAACCACGUUAAUAUUCGUGGGCCAAGGGAUGAGUGACGGAUUUCGAAAGUUGUAUUCCCUUAUUGGAUUGGGAAUGCAGCCUGGAAGUUCCUGGAAAUAGCCUCCCUAUAAGACCGUACCCGAAACCGACACAGGUGGUCAGGUAGAGCAUACCAAGGCGCUUGAGAGAACUAUGUUGAAGGAACUCGGCAAAUUACCUCCGUAACUUCGGGAGAAGGAGGCCUCAAUCUGGGCAACCAGGUCUGAGGGGCACAAAACUGGGGGUUGCGACUGUUUAUCAAAAACACAGGGCUCUGCGAAGCCGUAAGGCGACGUAUAGGGUCUGACGCCUG